RNAcentral lists this non-coding RNA (45 nucleotides) under Schistosoma mansoni. The record is from RNAcentral. Lineage: Eukaryota; Metazoa; Platyhelminthes; Trematoda; Strigeidida; Schistosomatidae.
AUCCAGUUGACGAGUCUCAAAUAAGUCGAAACGCGCGUGCUGUAU